Molecule: ribosomal RNA, 438 nt
Filed under: Phrosina semilunata
Lineage: Eukaryota; Metazoa; Arthropoda; Malacostraca; Amphipoda; Phrosinidae
Description: SSU rRNA
Source: RNAcentral
AUGCAUGUCUAAGUACAGCUCGGUGGGGUAACCUACCGGGUGAAACCGCAGACGGCUCAUUAAAUCAGUUGUGGUCUAAGUGGGCGACAGUUUCCUUAUUUGGAUAACUGUGGAAAAUCCAGAGCUAAUACAUGCAACUUAAGUCCUGAGCCAAAGCCCUUGUGGUGAUUAACUCGGGAUGCUUUUAUUAGACCGAGGCACGCGCACACGUGAUUUAGCUCUGUGCUUCGGUGCAGUAGCGGUCACUUGUGUGACAUUGUAAGUGCUUAAAGGUGACUCUGGAUAACACCGAUAAGCGUGCCUUAACUGGCACGCUGCCUACUUACGAGUGACUGCCCUAUCAGCUAAAACGUAUGUUAUACGCGAACGUUGGCUAUAACGGGUAACRGGRAAUCAGAGUUCGAUUCCGGAGAGGCAGCCUGAGAAACGGCUACCACG